This 468-nucleotide ribosomal RNA is filed under the name uncultured bacterium. RNAcentral's name for it is "partial 16S ribosomal RNA". It matches the Rfam family "Bacterial small subunit ribosomal RNA", at positions 28 to 507 of the family's 1533-position model. The record is from RNAcentral.
GACGAACGCUGGCGGCGUGCUUAACACAUGCAAGUCGAACGGAAAGGCCCUGCUUUUGUGGGGUGCUCGAGUGGCGAACGGGUGAGUAACACGUGAGUAACCUGCCCUUGACUUUGGGAUAACUUCAGGAAACUGGGGCUAAUACCGGAUAGGAGCUCCUGCUGCAUGGUGGGGGUUGGAAAGUUUCGGCGGUUGGGGAUGGACUCGCGGCUUAUCAGCUUGUUGGUGUGGUAGUGGCUUACCAAGGCUUUGACGGGUAGCCGGCCUGAGAGGGUGACCGGCCACAUUGGGACUGAGAGACGGCCCAGACUCCUACGGGAGGCAGCAGUGGGGAAUAUUGCACAAUGGGCGGAAGCCUGAUGCAGCAACGCCGCGUGCGGGAUGACGGCCUUCGGGUUGUAAACCGCUUUCGCCUGUGACGAAGCGUGAGUGACGGUAAUGGGUAAAGAAGCACCGGCUAACUACGUG